Molecule: ribosomal RNA, 410 nt
Filed under: uncultured bacterium
Lineage: Bacteria
Description: bacterial SSU rRNA
Rfam family: Bacterial small subunit ribosomal RNA
Source: RNAcentral
CAGCAGCCGCGGUAAUACGUAGGGCGCGAGCGUUGUCCGGAUUUAUUGGGCGUAAAGAGCUCGUAGGCGGCUUGUCGCGUCGACUGUGAAAACCCGCGGCUCAACCGCGGGCUUGCAGCCGAUACGGGCAGGCUAGAGUUCGGUAGGGGAGACUGGAAUUCCUGGUGUAGCGGUGAAAUGCGCAGAUAUCAGGAGGAACACCGGUGGCGAAGGCGGGUCUCUGGGCCGAUACUGACGCUGAGGAGCGAAAGCGUGGGGAGCGAACAGGAUUAGAUACCCUGGUAGUCCACGCUGUAAACGUUGGGCGCUAGGUGUGGGGGGCCUCUCCGGUUCUCUGUGCCGCAGCUAACGCAUUAAGCGCCCCGCCUGGGGAGUACGGCCGCAAGGCUAAAACUCAAAGGAAUUGACGG